CUACGGGGCGCUCCAGUGAGGAAUUUUGCGCAAUGGGGGAAACCCUGACGCAGCAACGCCGCGUGAGUGAUGAAGGCCUUCGGGUCGUAAAGCUCUGUCAAGUGGGAAGAACCUAUAUAAUGUUAAUAUCAUUAUAUACUGACGGUACCACUGAAGGAAGCACCGGCUAACUCCGUGCCAGCAGCCGCGGUAAUACGGAGGGUGCAAGCGUUAUUCGGAAUUAUUGGGCGUAAAGCGCGCGCAGUCGGCCAGUUAAGUCAGAUGUGAAAGCCCGGGGCUCAACCCCGGAAGUGCAUUUGAAACUAAUUGGCUUGAGUAUGGGAGAGGGAAGUGGAAUUCCUGGUGUAGAGGUGAAAUUCGUAGAUAUCAGGAGGAACACCGGUGGCGAAGGCGACUUCCUGGACCAAUACUGACGCUGAGGCGCGAAGGCGUGGGGAGCAAACAGGAUUAGAUACCCUAGUAGUC
Molecule: ribosomal RNA, 465 nt
Filed under: uncultured bacterium
Lineage: Bacteria
Description: partial 16S ribosomal RNA
Rfam family: Bacterial small subunit ribosomal RNA
Source: RNAcentral